UAUUCUUCUUCCUUUUACUGCUAACUCUUUUUUUUUUUUAAUCUUAUUUUACUUUGUCUUUAUUUUAUAAUAAAUUUAAUAUUUCUUUGCUAAAUUAAGAUUUGUUAGAUUUAUAAUUAAUUUUGUUGAUUUUUGUAUUCUCUGAUUAAUUAGAGAAGAUAUAUUUUAAUUUUUGAAUAUCCUUUAAUUAAUUAAGUUCUUGUUUAAUCCUGGGAAAAUAUUUCACAUUGUAAGAAUAGUUUCUUAGGACAGUGCCUAGCUCGAUUCAAAUAUUUUAUAUAUUACUUAAAAUAUUAUUUAAUUAUUAUUAUUAUUAAUGUUAUUAUUUGUAACACCCGUACUUUUGGGCUAGAAUCUAGAUUGUCGUUCCUACGCAUAUAGACCCGAACUAGAUAAUUCCUUGUUAAUAUAUGUGAGUUUAAUCCUAUAGUGUGGGAAUAUCUAUGAAUAUGAAUUGAUAUCACAAAAUCCUCUAACUCUAAGACGAGUUGAAAACAUUUCUAGCGAUUAAGUUUCAGUGGAUGUUGAAACUUGGGUCAACUUUCAUCGACCAUAACUUCUUGUAUACAUCAAAUUAGAGGACCCACUAUAUAUCAAAUGAAAGGUCUUCGAAGUAUCUUUUCAACGAUAUCAAUUUCGUCAAAAUUUGAUACCCAAACGAAAAGUUAUAGCCAUUUUUGUGAGAGAGGCAGUAGCUGUGCGCGAUUAGCAUGCCACGUACGCACCUAAUUUUCAGGUUCUGUUUUUGCGUUUUUAAGGGCAAUUUGGGCCUUUACCUCACCCAAGGUUUGUCCAUAACAUAAGAUUCACUCCCCAAAAGAAGAAUACACUCCAUAAUUCAAUUUUUUCCUCUCAAAUUAAAACCCUAAAUCUUUUCCCUCAAGAUCAAGAAUCAACAUCUUAAGUUCAAGACUCCAAGAAAAGGGUCAAGAUCCGGGUUCCAUCUAUCAAGAUCUAGGUUCCAUCUUUCAACUCUUAUAAUCUAAGUACAACUGUAUUGACCCCCUAUCUCUCAGAGUCUGAGGCUCAAUCUAGAGGUUCAGCUAAGCAGUAGAGAUUUCAGAGAGAAGAGACUGUGCAGUGGUGAGCCUUCUUUAUUUCAGAAGGCCUUUUUAUUCCAGUCUAUGUAAUUAUUUUAUUUUGGGUCUACUGGGGGCCGUGUCCCAGAUUCAGACAGUUAUCAUUUUAGCAUGUAAUAGAGAUUUCGUAGAUUGGUUCAGAUAUUGUCUAGAGUUCUUGUAUUUCAAAUUCCUUAUUGUUAAAUUGAGUUCAGAUUAUGACCAUGA
Long non-coding RNA from Capsicum annuum, 1286 nucleotides. RefSeq lists it as uncharacterized. The transcript has 2 exons. The record is from RefSeq and is a predicted model, not a curated record. Lineage: Eukaryota; Viridiplantae; Streptophyta; Magnoliopsida; Solanales; Solanaceae.